This 393-nucleotide ribosomal RNA is filed under the name uncultured bacterium. Its description in RNAcentral is "partial 16S ribosomal RNA". It matches the Rfam family "Bacterial small subunit ribosomal RNA", at positions 523 to 918 of the family's 1533-position model. The record is from RNAcentral.
AUACGGAGGGUGCAAGCGUUAUCCGGAUUUAUUGGGUUUAAAGGGUGCGUAGGCGGUUUGAUAAGUCAGCGGUGAAAUAUUUCAGCUUAACUGGAAGGGUGCCGUUGAUACUGUCGAGCUUGAAUUUAGUUGCUGUGGGUGGAAUGUGUGGUGUAGCGGUGAAAUGCAUAGAUAUCACACAGAAUAUCGAUUGCGAAGGCAGCUCACAAAGCUAAUAUUGACGCUGAUGCACGAAAGUGUGGGGAUCAAACAGGAUUAGAUACCCUGGUAGUCCACACUGUAAACGAUGAUAACUCGCUGUCGGCGAUACAUAGUCGGUGGCCAAGCGAAAGCGAUAAGUUAUCCACCUGGGGAGUACGACCGCAAGGUUGAAACUCAAAUGAAUUGACGGGG